This 608-nucleotide ribosomal RNA is filed under the name Saccharomyces cerevisiae (brewer's yeast). RNAcentral describes it as "LSU rRNA". It matches the Rfam family "Eukaryotic large subunit ribosomal RNA", at positions 1 to 642 of the family's 3401-position model. Lineage: Eukaryota; Fungi; Ascomycota; Saccharomycetes; Saccharomycetales; Saccharomycetaceae. The record is from RNAcentral.
CUUACAAUUUUUUUGCAUUUUCCAAUAGCGGAGGAAAAGAAACCAACCGGGAUUGCCUUAGUAACGGCGAGUGAAGCGGCAAAAGCUCAAAUUUGAAAUCUGGUACCUUCGGUGCCCGAGUUGUAAUUUGGAGAGGGCAACUUUGGGGCCGUUCCUUGUCUAUGUUCCUUGGAACAGGACGUCAUAGAGGGUGAGAAUCCCGUGUGGCGAGGAGUGCGGUUCUUUGUAAAGUGCCUUCGAAGAGUCGAGUUGUUUGGGAAUGCAGCUCUAAGUGGGUGGUAAAUUCCAUCUAAAGCUAAAUAUUGGCGAGAGACCGAUAGCGAACAAGUACAGUGAUGGAAAGAUGAAAAGAACUUUGAAAAGAGAGUGAAAAAGUACGUGAAAUUGUUGAAAGGGAAGGGCAUUUGAUCAGACAUGGUGUUUUGUGCCCUCUGCUCCUUGUGGGUAGGGGAAUCUCGCAUUUCACUGGGCCAGCAUCAGUUUUGGUGGCAGGAUAAAUCCAUAGGAAUGUAGCUUGCCUCGGUAAGUAUUAUAGCCUGUGGGAAUACUGCCAGCUGGGACUGAGGACUGCGACGUAAGUCAAGGAUGCUGCAUACGCCCUAAUCAAU